This 467-nucleotide ribosomal RNA is filed under the name uncultured bacterium. RNAcentral describes it as "bacterial SSU rRNA". It matches the Rfam family "Bacterial small subunit ribosomal RNA", at positions 355 to 837 of the family's 1533-position model. The record is from RNAcentral.
UGGGGAAUCUUGGACAAUGGGGGCAACCCUGAUCCAGCCAUGCCGCGUGAGUGAUGAAGGCCUUAGGGUCGUAAAGCUCUUUCGCCUGUGAAGAUAAUGACGGUAGCAGGUAAAGAAACCCCGGCUAACUCCGUGCCAGCAGCCGCGGUAAUACGGAGGGGGUUAGCGUUGUUCGGAAUUACUGGGCGUAAAGCGCACGUAGGCGGACCAGAAAGUUGGGGGUGAAAUCCCGGGGGCUCAACCCCGGAACUGCCUCCAAAACUAUUGGUCUAGAGUUCGAGAGAGGUGAGUGGAAUUCCAAGUGUAGAGGUGAAAUUCGUAGAUAUUUGGAGGAACACCAGUGGCGAAGGCGGCUCACUGGCUCGAUACUGACGCUGAGGUGCGAAAGUGUGGGGAGCAAACAGGAUUAGAUACCCUGGGUAGUCCACACCGUAAAACGAUGAAUGCCAGUCGUCGGGUAGCAUGCU